CCUCUCUCAGCAUCGCACCUGGAGAGUUUCCAGUACUCUACAAGUCUUGGCUAAGGAAGGGAGAGUCAAGCAGAGGCCUAACCAUUCCAUUCCUAGCUUGGGCAGUGGUUAGCAAGUGGAAGACAAUCUGCUACAAAA
Molecule: non-coding RNA, 138 nt
Organism: Ornithorhynchus anatinus (platypus)
Lineage: Eukaryota; Metazoa; Chordata; Mammalia; Monotremata; Ornithorhynchidae
Source: Rfam